This 1041-nucleotide long non-coding RNA is filed under the name Heterocephalus glaber (naked mole-rat). Its description in RNAcentral is "lncRNA (ENSHGLG00000050607.1)". Lineage: Eukaryota; Metazoa; Chordata; Mammalia; Rodentia; Bathyergidae. The record is from RNAcentral.
GGCGGCGGCAAGCGCUGGGUGCCGGGAGCCGGGAGCGCAGCUUUAUAGCGCGCUGAUAGACGGGGUCAGUUGGAGCGGCCGGGGCCAGCGGUGGGGGGCCCGGCCUGCCACCUUGCCUUAUUUGGUCGCUUUAGCACCAUCUAGGCCUGCCAAGGCCAUUCAUGGAGCCAAGGGCAAGAGAGAGGAUCAGCUGGGGGGCUCCCGGACCAUCAAGCUCCCCAUUUGAUUGGCACGUAUGUUGAAGUGUGACACACUGGUAGAAAUGACUGAUACCAUCUCAUUGGUGGAAAACAGGUUUCGAAGAAUCGAGACAUGUGAGAAGGAAAAAGAAAGAUGGCAUGAGGAGGCAAAGCUAGAUCUCUCGUGACUCAGGCAGAUGGAGAAGAAGCAAAGAAAAGGAGAAACAGGGAUGGCCUUAGAGCCAGACAGGCCAAACUUCAAAUCCUGCCUCUGUCACUUGGCACUCACUCUGUAUGCAUUUCAUCAUAGGAAACUCCCUUGCAGUUUGAGUGAGCCUGCUUCAUAUAUCCUAGGAGGCAGGGAACCUCAGAACCGCAUCUGCCUGCAGCCACACAGUUGAGCAAAUGGAAGAGAGAGACUUCAAACCCAGGCACUUGGGUGAAGCCCUGUUGGUAAUCAGCACCAAAAAUGCCCUUCUGUCUACUGAGACUGCUGUUUCUCAGAUGAGGAGGCUAGAAUCACCUGCACCCUGGCUGCCUAAUAGAAAUUCAAAUUCCUAUGUUCUACCCUAGAAAUCUGAAUCCGCAUUUUAAAUGAGCCUUCAGCCCCCUUCCCCAGGUAAGUCUCUCCUUUUUCCACCACAGGCUUUCUUCCCUGAGCCCAUGCAGCUUUGCUAGAUGCAGCCCAGGCUGCCAGUGCUGGCCAGUGUCCAGUUUGGCUGACCUUGUUCACCCCAGUGGGAUGGCAAAGCUGAUAGGUCCGCAGGGUACUGGAGGGCCAGCAAGGCCUUUCACAGCACAGACAUGCCAUGAGGGUGAUGUGCAAGGCAAGCUGAAGGAACAGAAGGUAGGACAGUCCCCG